Molecule: ribosomal RNA, 253 nt
Filed under: uncultured bacterium
Lineage: Bacteria
Description: partial 16S ribosomal RNA
Rfam family: Bacterial small subunit ribosomal RNA
Source: RNAcentral
UACGGAGGAGGCUAGCGUUGUUCGGAAUUUCUGGGCGUAAAGCGCACGUAGGCGGAUCAGAAAGUCAGAGGUGAAAUCCCAGGGCUCAACCUUGGAACUGCCUUUGAAACUCCUGAUCUUGAGGUCGAGAGAGGUGAGUGGAAUUCCGAGUGUAGAGGUGAAAUUCGUAGAUAUUCGGAGGAACACCAGUGGCGAAGGCGGCUCACUGGUCCGGUACUGACGCUGAGGUGCGAAAGCGUGGGGAGCAAACAGG